This 301-nucleotide ribosomal RNA is filed under the name uncultured bacterium. Its description in RNAcentral is "partial 16S ribosomal RNA". It matches the Rfam family "Bacterial small subunit ribosomal RNA", at positions 509 to 807 of the family's 1533-position model. The record is from RNAcentral.
CAGUCGCCGCGGGAAUACGAAGGGUGCAAGCGUCACUCGGAAUUACUGGGCGUAAAGCGUGCGUAGGUGGUGGUUUAAGUCCGUUGUGAAAGCCCUGGGCUCAACCUGGGAAUUGCAGUGGAUACUGGGUCACUAGAGUGUGGUAGAGGAUAGUGGAAUUUCCGGUGUAGCAGUGAAAUGCGUAGAGAUCGGAAGGAACAUCUGUGGCGAAGGCGACUAUCUGGGCCAACACUGACACUGAGGCACGAAAGCGUGGGGAGCAAACAGGAUUAGAUACCCGUGUAGUCCCUGUCUCUUAUAC